This is a long non-coding RNA of Lactuca sativa (garden lettuce), 736 nucleotides long. RefSeq lists it as uncharacterized. The record is from RefSeq and is a predicted model, not a curated record. NCBI's taxonomy places the organism in Eukaryota, Viridiplantae, Streptophyta, Magnoliopsida, Asterales, Asteraceae.
UGAUAGCUAGGUACCUAAAGCAUUGUUUAAAGGUGGAUCAGUAGUCUACAUGUCAUUGCAUGUCAUUGCAUUCUCACUGUUACCUAUCAAAGUACUGAGGUAAAUAUUAUGAUUUUUUAUAUUAAUUUUCUUACUUUCUAAAAUUAUUAGUGUUUUUUUUCUGAGUUAUGAUUGAAAAACAGUGAACUAGGGUAAAUUUUAUGAAUUAUGAUAUUAGUUUCUGAAAAUAUAUAAUUAGGGCAUCAUUAUGUCUUAUUGCCCCGGGCAACAUAUUUCUUUGGACCGGCCCUGGGUCCUUGCAUUGCAAUUGCCUAUUUAUCGGUUCUAAAGGACUGUGAGAUUCAUUGCUUUCAUGAAGGAUUGGAAGUCAAACGACUUGGUGGUCUCCAUGUCAUUGGGACAUCUUUGCAUGAGUCCCGAAGAAUUGAUAAUCAGCUUCGUGGCAGAGCAGGAAGGCAAGGAGAUCCUGGAUCAACACGCUUCAUGGUCAGAGAAGGAAAAAGAUAGAAGUUUUUGAGGAUGUUGCUGAUGAAAAAGAUAGAGGUUCUUUAGGAUGCUGCUAAUGAAGUUUAUGCAGAGAAGGAAAAAGAUAGAAGUUUGUUGGCACAUAGUAAGCUAGAUAAUUAAUGCAAUUGUAUAUAAAUGAGUUCAUUUUUUUAUAACAUUUACUCACUAUUGGAAUAAUUAUUUGUAUUUGACAUAUUAGUGAAAUGAAUUAUAUUUGUUAUUUAUGGUA